CGAGCGGGAAUUCACAGACUGAUUCUCGGAGAUUAACUUAGUGGCGAACGGGUGAGUAACGCGUGAGAAACCUGCCUUUCAGUGGGGGACAACAGUUGGAAACGACUGCUAACACCGCAUAAUGUAUAAAUGGGGCAUCCCAUUUAUACCAAAGCUUUAUGUGCUGAAAGAUGGUCUCGCGUCUGAUUAGCUAGAUGGCGGGGUAACGGCCCACCAUGGCGACGAUCAGUAGCCGGUCUGAGAGGAUGAACGGCCACAUUGGGACUGAGAUACGGCCCAGACUCCUACGGGAGGCAGCAGUGGGGAAUAUUGGGCAAUGGGGGAAACCCUGACCCAGCAACGCCGCGUGAAGGAAGAAGGCCUUCGGGUUGUAAACUUCUUUUAGCAGGGACGAAGAACGUGACGGUACCUGCAGAAAAAGCAACGGCUAACUACGUG
This 438-nucleotide ribosomal RNA is filed under the name uncultured bacterium. RNAcentral describes it as "bacterial SSU rRNA". It matches the Rfam family "Bacterial small subunit ribosomal RNA", at positions 63 to 507 of the family's 1533-position model. The record is from RNAcentral.